UGUGUGUGUCCGCUCUGGCUGGUCACCAA
RNAcentral lists this non-coding RNA (29 nucleotides) under Rattus norvegicus (Norway rat). Lineage: Eukaryota; Metazoa; Chordata; Mammalia; Rodentia; Muridae. The record is from RNAcentral.